Otolemur garnettii (small-eared galago) is the source of this 143-nucleotide small nuclear RNA. Its record names the gene U4. It matches the Rfam family "U4 spliceosomal RNA". Rfam says of the family: U4 small nuclear RNA (U4 snRNA) is a component of the major U2-dependent spliceosome. The structure of U4 snRNA from yeast and human has been reported. Lineage: Eukaryota; Metazoa; Chordata; Mammalia; Primates; Galagidae. The record is from Ensembl.
AGCUUUGCGCAGUGGCAAAGUAUAGUAGCCCAUGAGGUUUAUCUGAGGCGCAAUAAUUGCUAAUUGAAAACUUUUCCCAAUACUCUGCCAUGACUACUUGAAAUAUAUUUGGCAUUGGCAAUUUUUGACAGUCUCUAUGGAGA